UACGGGGGGAGCAAGCGUUGUUCGGAUUUACUGGGCGUAAAGGGCGCGUAGGCGGCCACGACAAGUCACUUGUGAAAUCUCCGGGCUUAACUCGGAAAGGUCAAGUGAUACUGUCGGGCUAGAGUGCGGAAGGGGCAACUGGAAUUCUCGGUGUAGCGGUGAAAUGCGUAGAUAUCGAGAGGAACACCUGCGGCGAAGGCGGGUUGCUGGGCCGACACUGACGCUGAGGCGCGAAAGCUAGGGGAGCGAACGGG
RNAcentral lists this ribosomal RNA (254 nucleotides) under uncultured bacterium. RNAcentral's name for it is "partial 16S ribosomal RNA". It matches the Rfam family "Bacterial small subunit ribosomal RNA", at positions 524 to 776 of the family's 1533-position model. The record is from RNAcentral.